CGGCAUGCCUUACACAUGCAAGUCGAACGGCAGCACGGGGCAACCUGGUGGCGAGUGGCGAACGGGUGAGUAAAGCAUCGGAACGUGCCCUGGAGUGGGGGAUAACGUAGCGAAAGUUACGCUAAUACCGCAUAUUCUGUGAGCAGGAAAGCAGGGGAUCGCAAGACCUUGCGCUCUGGGGAGCGGCCGAUGUCGGAUUAGCUAGUUGGUGGGGUAAAGGCCUACCAAGGCGACGAUCCGUAGCGGGUCUGAGAGGAUGAUCCGCCACACUGGGACUGAGACACGGCCCAGACUCCUACGGGAGGCAGCAGUGGGGAAUUUUGGACAAUGGGCGGAAGCCUGAUCCAGCCAUGCCGCGUGAGUGAAGAAGGCCUUCGGGGUUGUAAAGCUCUUUCGGCCGGGAAGAAAUCGCAUGGGUCAAUACCCUGUGUGGAUGACGGUACCGGAAUAAGAAGCACCGGCUAACUACGUGCCAGCAGCCGCGGUAAUACGUAGGGUGCGAGCGUUAAUCGGAAUUACUGGGC
Molecule: ribosomal RNA, 524 nt
Filed under: uncultured bacterium
Lineage: Bacteria
Description: bacterial SSU rRNA
Rfam family: Bacterial small subunit ribosomal RNA
Source: RNAcentral